CUCCGGGUCUCCAGGAAGUAGCUAGCUACAUCUGUCAACGCAAGAAAAAAUGGACGAUCAUCUUAAACUCGGAGACAGUGGAGUUGUAAAGAAUUUUCAGGUUGCAAAGUUGGGUCGACGGGGUCAACGUACUCGACAGGCUGCAGAGCAAACAUCACUGGAGGAGCCUCGACACGUCAGGAAAUCCUCUUCUUCUACAUCGAUGGGAGAGGGACCCCCUCCUAAACCAGCCCGCAGGCAGGGCGGAUGGGCUGAAGAGACUUCUGGAUCAGCCAAGUCUGGAAGAAGACCUGCCAUGGUGCAGGAUGUGGAAGAUCGACGCCUGCGACCACAAACCCCCCAGGGCUCGGAUGAUGAAGGAGAUAUACCGGUGAUCCCAGACCUUGACGAAGUACAAGAGGAAGACCUUAACAUGCAAGUUUCUGCUCCUCCAAGCAUCCAGGUGAACCGGGUAAUGACAUACAGAGAUCUGGACAAUGACCUCAUGAAGUACUCUGUCUUCCAGACCCUGGACGGUGAGAUUGACUUGAAGCUCCUCACCAAGGUUUUAGCUCCAGAGCAGGAGGUGAGGGAGGAGGACGUGGGUUGGGACUGGGAUCAUCUGUUUACAGAGGUGUCCUCAGAGCUGCUGACGGAAUGGGAUCAAGGAGAGAAGGAGGAGCAGGUCCCGCUGUCUGUGUUAUGAGGACAAGCCUCCCCAAGUUGGGAUAAAGUGGACCAGAACGUCUCCUCUGGGACCUGGGACCACGUGCUGACUGACACAGGCCAAUCACGGCCCGGCAGUCAACGAGGAGGCUCGCGCUCCGAGGCCAUAGACAUUGGCCAUGUUCGAGAGCAUCAAAACCAUAUUAUAAACUGGGUGGUUUGAGCCCUGAAUGCUGAUUGGCUGAAAGCUGGGGUAUAUCAGACCGUAUACCACAGCUUUCCAUUAAUCAUCCUUGAGACGUUUCUACAACUUGAUUGGAGUCCACC
This is an RNA transcript of Oncorhynchus gorbuscha (pink salmon), 972 nucleotides long. It is a transcript of the gene named intraflagellar transport protein 43 homolog B, with no coding region annotated. The transcript is spliced from 11 exons. NCBI's taxonomy places the organism in Eukaryota, Metazoa, Chordata, Actinopteri, Salmoniformes, Salmonidae. The record is from RefSeq and is a predicted model, not a curated record.